This 506-nucleotide ribosomal RNA is filed under the name uncultured Glomus. RNAcentral's name for it is "SSU rRNA". It matches the Rfam family "Eukaryotic small subunit ribosomal RNA", at positions 569 to 1078 of the family's 1831-position model. The record is from RNAcentral. Lineage: Eukaryota; Fungi; Glomeromycota; Glomeromycetes; Glomerales; Glomeraceae.
AGCAGCCGCGGUAAUUCCAGCUCCAAUAGCGUAUAUUAAAGUUGUUGCAGUUAAAAAGCUCGUAGUUGAAUUUCGGGAUCAAUCUAUCGGUCGUGCAAUAGUACGUACUGAUUUUAUUGAUUCCUCCCUUCUGAUGAACUAUGAUGUCAUUAAUUUGGUGUCAUAGGGAAUCAGGACUGUUACUUUGAAAAAAUUAGAGUGUUUAAAGCAGGCUCACGCUUGAAUACAUUAGCAUGGAAUAACGAAAUAGGACGUUUGAUUCUAUUUUGUUGGUUUCUAGGAUCGACGUAAUGAUUAAUAGGGAUAGUUGGGGGCAUUAGUAUUCAAUUGUCAGAGGUGAAAUUCUUGGAUUUAUUGAAGACUAACUACUGCGAAAGCAUUUGCCAAGGAUGUUUUCAUUAAUCAAGAACGAAAGUUAGGGGAUCGAAGACGAUCAGAUACCGUCGUAGUCUUAACCAUAAACUAUGCCGACUAGGGAUCGGAUGAUGUUAAUUUUUAAUGACUCU